AAAGCGCGCGUAGGUGGUUUGUUAAGUUGGAUGUGAAAUCCCCGGGCUCAACCUGGGAACUGCAUUCAAAACUGACUGACUAGAGUAUGGUAGAGGGUGGUGGAAUUUCCUGUGUAGCGGUGAAAUGCGUAGAUAUAGGAAGGAACACCAGUGGCGAAGGCGACCACCUGGACUAAUACUGACACUGAGGUGCGAAAGCGUGGGGAGCAAACAGGAUUAGAUACCCCAGU
This 230-nucleotide ribosomal RNA is filed under the name uncultured bacterium. RNAcentral describes it as "partial 16S ribosomal RNA". It matches the Rfam family "Bacterial small subunit ribosomal RNA", at positions 562 to 791 of the family's 1533-position model. The record is from RNAcentral.